ACGCCUACGGGAGGCAGCAGUGGGGAAUAUUGGGCAAUGGGCGCAAGCCUUACCCAGCAAUACCGCGUGAGUGAAGAAGGUCUUCGGAUUGUAAAGCUCUUUGAUCAGGGACGAACAGAUGACGGUACCUGAAGAACAAGCCACGGCUAACUACGUGCCAGCAGCCGCGGUAAUACGUAGGUGGCAAGCGUUGUCCGGAUUUACUGGGUGUAAAGGGCGUGCAGCCGGGAAGACAAGUCAGAUGUGAAAUCCCGCGGCUCAACCGCGGAACUGCAUUUGAAACUGUUUUUCUUGAGUACCGGAGG
This 305-nucleotide ribosomal RNA is filed under the name uncultured bacterium. Its description in RNAcentral is "bacterial SSU rRNA". It matches the Rfam family "Bacterial small subunit ribosomal RNA", at positions 335 to 655 of the family's 1533-position model. The record is from RNAcentral.